Molecule: long non-coding RNA, 308 nt
Filed under: Mytilus galloprovincialis (Mediterranean mussel)
Lineage: Eukaryota; Metazoa; Mollusca; Bivalvia; Mytilida; Mytilidae
Source: RNAcentral
ACUUUAGGGAGCUACCAUUUGAUUUUUAUGGGGGGGCUAGGAUGAAAAAUUUUGUCCUGCUUUUUUUUUUAGUUGUAAUCCCUGUCCUGCCUUUUUAUUUUUUACUCUAUUUGGUCCUGCCUUUUUUUUUUUACUAGUUUAUCCUGACUUUUUUUACACAAAUUGUCAUCCUGCCUUUUUUUUUUUACCAAGUUGCUCACCCUGCCUUUUUUUUUUACUCAAAACUCCUGUCCUGCCUAUUUUUUUCAAAUUUCAUCCUAGCCCCCCCAUAAAAAUCAAAUGGUAGCUCCCUUAUAUACACUGUGUAU